This 631-nucleotide ribosomal RNA is filed under the name uncultured archaeon. RNAcentral's name for it is "partial 16S ribosomal RNA". It matches the Rfam family "Archaeal small subunit ribosomal RNA", at positions 1 to 622 of the family's 1478-position model. The record is from RNAcentral.
GGCCGCGGGAAUUCGAUUUUCCGGUUGAUCCUGCCGGAGGUCACUGCUAUCGGGGUUCGAUUAAGCCAUGCGAGUUGAGAGGGUUUAGACCCUCGGCGGACUGCUCAGUAACACGUGGAUAACCUGCCCUAAGGUGGAGGAUAACCCCGGGAAACUGGGGAUAAUACUCCAUAGAUCAGAGUAACUGGAAUGUUUUCUGGUCGAAAGUUCCGGCGCCUUAGGAUGGAUCUGCGGCCGAUUAGGUAGUUGUUGGGGUAACGGCCCAACAAGCCAGUCAUCGGUACGGGUUGUGGGAGCAAGAGCCCGGAGAUGGAAUCUGAGACACGAUUCCAGGCCCUACGGGGCGCAGCAGGCGCGAAAACUUUACAAUGCAGGAAACUGUGAUAAGGGAACCCCGAGCGCUCGUACACGCGAGCUGUCCAGGUGUGUAAAAAGCAUCUGAAGAAAGGGCCGGGCAAGACCGGUGCCAGCCGCCGCGGUAAUACCGGCGGCUCGAGUGGUGGCCACUAUUAUUGGGCUUAAAGCGUUCGUAGCUGGACUCUUAAGUCUCCUGGGAAAUCCGCCGGCUCAACCGGCGGGCGUCCAGGAGAUACUGGGAGUCUUGGAACCGGAAGAGGUAAGAGGUACUUCG